Molecule: ribosomal RNA, 406 nt
Filed under: uncultured bacterium
Lineage: Bacteria
Description: partial 16S ribosomal RNA
Rfam family: Bacterial small subunit ribosomal RNA
Source: RNAcentral
AUUGAACGCUGGCGGCAGGCCUAACACAUGCAAGUCGAGCGAGCGGCGGACGGGUGAGUACUGUCUGGGACUCUGCCCGAUAGAGGGGGAUAACUACUGGAAACGGUGGCUACUACCGCAUACUAUCGGAUGUACCCAUAUGGGAUUAGCUAGUAGGUGGGGUAAAGGCUCACCUAGGCGACGAUCCCUAGCUGGUCUUAGAGGAUGAUCAGCCACACUGGAACUGAGACACGGUCCAGACUCCUACGGGAGGCAGCAGUGGGGAAUAUUGCACAAUGGGCGCAAGCCUGAUACAGCCAUGCCGCGUGUAUGAAGAAGGCCUUAGGGUUGUAAAGUACUUUCAGCGGGGAGGCGUUACCCGCAGAAGAAGCACCGGCUAACUCCGUGCCAGCAGCCGCGGUAAUUC